RNAcentral lists this ribosomal RNA (252 nucleotides) under uncultured bacterium. Its description in RNAcentral is "partial 16S ribosomal RNA". It matches the Rfam family "Bacterial small subunit ribosomal RNA", at positions 524 to 776 of the family's 1533-position model. The record is from RNAcentral.
UACGGGGGGGCAAGCGUUGUUCGGAAUUACUGGGCGUAAAGGGCGCGUAGGCGGCCUGCUAAGUCGGACGUGAAAUCCCUCGGCUCAACCGGGGAACUGCGUCCGAUACUGACAGGCUCGAAUCCGGGAGAGGGAUGUGGAAUUCCAGGUGUAGCGGUGAAAUGCGUAGAUAUCUGGAGGAACACCGGUGGCGAAGGCGGCAUCCUGGACCGGCAUUGACGCUGAGGCGCGAAAGCCAGGGGAGCAAACGGG